GCCGGCAGCUAGCUCUCUGCAACUCUCACAUGCUCGCCCACUGAAGCUAAGCAGAGCUGCACCUGCUCAGAACCUGGAUGGGAGACCACAUGGGAAAGCUGGGUCGCUGCCGGAA
Molecule: ribosomal RNA, 115 nt
Organism: Danio rerio (zebrafish)
Lineage: Eukaryota; Metazoa; Chordata; Actinopteri; Cypriniformes; Danionidae
Source: Ensembl